Molecule: unclassified non-coding RNA, 619 nt
Filed under: Trichosporon inkin
Lineage: Eukaryota; Fungi; Basidiomycota; Tremellomycetes; Trichosporonales; Trichosporonaceae
Source: RNAcentral
ACUUGAAUAGAACGGAGUGCUGUAAGCAGUAGAGUAGCCUUGUUGCUACGAUCUGCUGAGGCUCAGCUCUUGUUCUACAGAUUUGUCCUUUUGGACUCUCUAUGUUUGAGAUGGACUGGGGGGUAACUCCAGCAUGUUAACCAUAGACAGUUUAUAAGGAGUUGGUGAUCUGGUGACUUGGUGGCGUGUGUUGGGAGGGUGUGUCCCAGAGAAUGGGAUUGGGGACUCGGGGUCGGAGCUCAGCCUGUCUAGAUUUCAGGUUUCGCACGGUUGCCAAGUCCUGGGAUGGACUGGGGGAGACAAGGCCUCUGCAGCAGGCGAGUCUCCAAGUCUCCAAGUUGCCUGGGGCUGUGUCCAUGCUGCAUCAGGACCGAGUGCUUGAGUGUCUGAGCAGAUGCAUGCAUGCAACUCUGGUGCGGUGGCCAGAGGUCUCAAGGUGACAAAGUUCAGCUGGCAGGCUGCUGGUAGUCAUACCGAGUGCUGAGCACUCCUCUGACUGCAGCACGUCUGCCAGCAUCCUUGUGUGAGCUCUGGGCGACCGACUGGCUUAUAGGGCAAGUUCCAACAUACUGUCAUCUACGGCCAUAGGAUCCAGAAAAUACCGCAUCCCGUCCGAUCU